AAUCCAUGUUGAGGACAUCACUUUCACAAAUCCUUGUACCUCUCCCAAGCUCAUAUAGUGAUUCAGAAUCAACUUGCAUGAAAGAAGUGAUGUCAUUCUGCAUCU
RNAcentral lists this small nucleolar RNA (105 nucleotides) under Theobroma cacao (cacao). Its description in RNAcentral is "Plant small nucleolar RNA R71". It matches the Rfam family "Plant small nucleolar RNA R71". From Rfam's summary of the family: R71 is a member of the C/D box family of snoRNAs containing the C (UGAUGA) and D (CUGA) box motifs. Lineage: Eukaryota; Viridiplantae; Streptophyta; Magnoliopsida; Malvales; Malvaceae. The record is from Rfam by way of RNAcentral.